AAAGUUGUUACAUCUAGCAUGGCAUCCAAGUGACAACUUACUCGCCUGCGCCGCAUCAAACACCUUUACAUGUAUUAUGCAUAAAAUGGUCUGGGAAGAUCAUGGACUUUUGCUUCACAAAACUAUGGUUGCUACCUCUGGCAAUGGCUUCCCUGCCUUAUUUCCUAACACAGAUGCAGAAGACACACCCAUCACCAGGGGAUGAUAUUGCUGUUGUUGAAUUAUCAAGGAAGUAUAUAACU
This 242-nucleotide unclassified non-coding RNA is filed under the name Hevea brasiliensis (rubber tree). The record is from RNAcentral. Lineage: Eukaryota; Viridiplantae; Streptophyta; Magnoliopsida; Malpighiales; Euphorbiaceae.